Molecule: ribosomal RNA, 441 nt
Filed under: uncultured Rhodoferax sp.
Lineage: Bacteria; Pseudomonadati; Pseudomonadota; Betaproteobacteria; Burkholderiales; Comamonadaceae
Description: bacterial SSU rRNA
Rfam family: Bacterial small subunit ribosomal RNA
Source: RNAcentral
GUGGUUUAAUUCGAUGCAACGCGAAAAACCUUACCCACCUUUGACAUGUACGGAAGCCUUUAGAGAUAGAGGCGUGCUCGAAAGAGAGCCGUAACACAGGUGCUGCAUGGCUGUCGUCAGCUCGUGUCGUGAGAUGUUGGGUUAAGUCCCGCAACGAGCGCAACCCUUGUCAUUAGUUGCUACAUUCAGUUGGGCACUCUAAUGAGACUGCCGGUGACAAGCCGGAGGAAGGUGGGGAUGACGUCAAGUCCUCAUGGCCCUUAUAGGUGGGGCUACACACGUCAUACAAUGGCUGGUACAAAGGGUUGCCAACCCGCGAGGGGGAGCUAAUCCCAUAAAGCCAGUCGUAGUCCGGAUCGUAGUCUGCAACUCGACUACGUGAAGUCGGAAUCGCUAGUAAUCGUGGAUCAGAAUGUCACGGUGAAUACGUUCCCGGGUCUU